Lolium perenne is the source of this 2236-nucleotide non-coding RNA. The record is from RefSeq and is a predicted model, not a curated record. Lineage: Eukaryota; Viridiplantae; Streptophyta; Magnoliopsida; Poales; Poaceae.
GAUGAUACUUUCAGCUUCAUUUGCAUUUUUUACUUAGUUUGCCCCUUUAAUUUUGGUACUCUUGCAGUACACUUGUCUUUUAAGCACUGUGUUAUGCAUAUUUUUUUAGUGGGGGGAAACAUUCGAACUUGUCAUUCCUGCUUUCUAACUUCAUUUGCGUGAGGAGAUAAAGUUACUAUAAGUUUGUGUAUUUGUGAAUCCUUGCAUAUAACCUGCCGAGGAAGAGGAAAAUGCAAAGUAGGAGGAGAAGAACAAGGAUGCUGAUCAUAAUAAGGUGGGAUCAUGGUUUAGCAACCCAGGAGCUGGUGGCAGAGUUGGCAAGUAUCUUACAACUCGGACAGCUGGCUCUUCUGAUGCCACUGGAAAACAUAAGUGACAUGUUUUUGUGCUCCAUCAUGAUCUAUUUUGAGAUACGGUACAUCAGUACUAGAUUCAACAUUUGGGAGGUAAUUUUCUCGCUUUCGUAGUUUUACCUUAUAUUUUUGUAUAACCAGUUCUUCGAAAACUUGAAAAUAUGAUCUACUCAAGCUGAAAGCAUGUACAUAUAGCCUACUUUUGGCAGCUAUUUCUUUCCCGCUGAUUAUUGUCAGGAAGUAAUACAAUAUUUCUAUUGUAUUUUUAGUGGUUGUGCCAGUUUGGGACAAAACUUAUUUUUAGUAGAAUUGUUUGCUUGCCACUGAGUUAAGUUUACUCAACAAAUUGUACAAGAAAGUGUUUCAUAAAUUUUACUUGGUAUGCUGCUCUUUUUUAGCAAUUACUUGAAUUUUAGUUAGAGGCCACAUAAACUGUCUUCAAUUGAAUUUUCCCAGUCAUUUGGUGUACUCAAACUGAAACACCUCCAGGACAAGUGCUUUUGAAUACUGUUAUUAACAUACUUUAUUCUCCGCAUAAGCACAUGAUGAAGUUCGUACUAUGUUUGGUGCCAUCGAUGGUUUGUGACAGAGGUUACGAAAUAUUGCAUGGCAAUACUUUCCACUAUUACUGGUUUUCAACUGUAUGCUGCUAUUUUUCAUGGCUACAAAUUUAAGAACUUGUACCGCUAUAAUGUAGGAGGUUGGAUGUUUUCUAUGGAUAUGAAUGCUCGCGGCACUGCUGAACCUGAAUCUUCUUAAAAAUAGUUACUUUUGAACCUGUCAUAGAGCCAGACAAUAUUGUUCCUUUACUGUGCAGAUAUGAACUUGAUCAUUUACAUGGUGUGUUUGCUGUCUUUAAUCUUGAUCUGCAAUUAGCUGCGGUUCCAUUGAAAUGUCUUGACAUGUCAACUGUUUCUAGACAAGCACUAUCAAUCUUUUACGCAUUCAUGAAAAUGCUGGCAAUAUACUUUGGUCCAUAUAGGCUAAGUAUCCAUUUUUUUCUCAUUGCCUUCAUUUGUUCAUUCUGCUUCAGACUAUUGUGGCAGCAGGUACAGUACUGUUAACUUUCAUCACCAUACAUGGGUAUGCACAGUCGGUUAUCAUCUUCUUAUGCUUGGAAGCUGAGUCAUGUAAUCAGGUUGAUGCAUAGUGGUACUACCUUAGAUACAACCUGUAUUGUAUGCAUAAAAUUGAAAUACGUGUACAUGUUAAGCAUCAUCUGUACGGGUACAUACAUCAGGUACAAGUUUAAAGUUAAAUGCAUCAAGCAAGCAAACGGUUCAAUUAUAUAGUGUUGUUAACAUUACGUACAUAUAAUUUGGCUGCAAUUAUUAAUCUUUUUUUGUUAUGAACUUUUCAAUUUCAUGAAGUUGGAGACAUCAGAGACAUCAAAUAAUCUUACUACACAUGGUCGAAGAACAAGGAGGCUGCUGGCCCCACCUGCUGCUGGCCGACCUGGGUGGCGAUGAGUGGCGGAAGAAGGGGAGAAACACGCUGUGAUGAAGGUGCGUGUCAAGCUUCUCCAUCUCCAUGUAAACGGAUGACCUCCACAGCAAGAGAUGCGGUCAGGGGAUGAAUGUUUUAAGGAAAGUGACCCAGACUAUGGGUUUGUACCAUCCAUGCGCUAUAGUUAAAUCUGUACAUCCUAAGAAAUGUGCAGACCACAAUGAAAUUGGAGAAGUUUAAGGCGGAGGUCAUUUUAGUUAAUUGGGUUUUGUUUAUUUUUCUCAGUGUACACUGUUUAUUUUAGUUUCUUCUUGUCAUAAAUAUGUUUUUUUUGUGGUCGUUGAAGAAUAGUAAGGGACAAACAUUACGAAUGCACUAUAUGUAUAUUUAUUAUUUAUAAAAUAUUUUUUAAGGCAUUCAAUAAGAAAUUAGUAUAC